Molecule: ribosomal RNA, 233 nt
Filed under: uncultured bacterium
Lineage: Bacteria
Description: partial 16S ribosomal RNA
Rfam family: Bacterial small subunit ribosomal RNA
Source: RNAcentral
UGAGCAAUCUGCCCUUCUCUUUGGAAUAAGCGUGGGAAACCGCGUCUAAUGCCGAAUACGACCUCCUUUCGCAUGAUCGGAGGUGGAAAGCUCCGGCGGAGAAGGAUGAGCUCGCGGCCUAUCAGCUUGUUGGUGGGGUAGUGGCCUACCAAGGCGACGACGGGUAGCCGGCCUGAGAGGGUGACCGGCCACACUGGGACUGAGACACGGCCCAGACUCCGUACGGGAGCAGC